GCCAAAAAGGAUGGGUUUUAUGUCAAUCUUUCGGUAAUUGAAGUGUUCGUUUUUUCCAGGGGCUGGGGGGUGUGUUUUUUUUUUGAGUUAGCCUAACUCUUGGUGAUCAUUUUAGCUAUUAACAAGUAUUCUCGGAAGACUGAACUAACAUUUUGUGGUUACAGGGAAAGUUUUAAGCACGUAAAAGUUCUGUUUUAAGAAAUUUGAGGAAAUAGAAAUAUGUUAUUUCUUAAAUUUUAAAAAACUUAAAAUGAUCUUGUAAUCUUGUUUACUGUUCAAAGAU
Molecule: long non-coding RNA, 283 nt
Filed under: Elaeis guineensis (African oil palm)
Lineage: Eukaryota; Viridiplantae; Streptophyta; Magnoliopsida; Arecales; Arecaceae
Description: long non-coding RNA (EGUI_LNC041984)
Source: RNAcentral